AUUGAACGCUGGCGGCAUGCCUUACACAUGCAAGUCGAACGGCAGCACGGGUGCUUGCACCUGGUGGCGAGUGGCGAACGGGUGAGUAAUACAUCGGAACAUGUCCUGUAGUGGGGGAUAGCCCGGCGAAAGCCGGAUUAAUACCGCAUACGAUCUACGGAGGAAAGCGGGGGACCUUCGGGCCUCGCGCUAUAGGGUUGGCCGAUGGCUGAUUAGCUAGUUGGUGGGGUAAAGGCCUACCAAGGCGACGAUCAGUAGCUGGUCUGAGAGGACGACCAGCCACACUGGGACUGAGACACGGCCCAGACUCCUACGGGAGGCAGCAGUGGGGAAUUUUGGACAAAGGGCGAAAGCCUGAUCCAGCAAUGCCGCGUGUGUGAAGAAGGCCUUCGGGUUGUAAAGCACUUUUGUCCGGAAAGAAAUCCUUGGCCCUAAUACGGUCGGGGGAUGACGGUACCGGAAGAAUAAGCACCGGCUAACUACGUG
This 486-nucleotide ribosomal RNA is filed under the name uncultured bacterium. Its description in RNAcentral is "partial 16S ribosomal RNA". It matches the Rfam family "Bacterial small subunit ribosomal RNA", at positions 30 to 507 of the family's 1533-position model. The record is from RNAcentral.